This is a long non-coding RNA of Melanotaenia boesemani (Boeseman's rainbowfish), 139 nucleotides long. RefSeq lists it as uncharacterized. NCBI's taxonomy places the organism in Eukaryota, Metazoa, Chordata, Actinopteri, Atheriniformes, Melanotaeniidae. The record is from RefSeq and is a predicted model, not a curated record. The transcript has 2 exons.
CCAUCUUAUUUACAGUUGUUUCCUUUAAAACAUUUCUAGAUAAUUUUUUUUUCAUUAUUUUUAUUUAAAAUCUUCCAGGUAAUCUUUAUUCGUAUAAAGCUCAAAAUCUAAAGCAACAAAUAAAAAGUAGGAUUUAAAA